Long non-coding RNA from Mauremys mutica (yellowpond turtle), 1782 nucleotides. RefSeq lists it as uncharacterized. The transcript is spliced from 2 exons. The record is from RefSeq and is a predicted model, not a curated record. Lineage: Eukaryota; Metazoa; Chordata; Testudines; Geoemydidae.
UCCCAAAUCAUGAAAUUGGCUUAAAAAUCAUAAGAUUAAAAAUAUUUUACUUAUCUUCUGAUUAACGUAGGAUACAUGUGGGACACAUUAUAUAGCUUGUUUCUGCAACAACGAUGGCUAGAAACUUACUUUGUUUUUCAAAAACGAAUGCUAACAUUCUUAUGAAAUAACAUGACUCCAAGAACUGGGGCUUUUAAAAAAACACCAAAUAUCAUGAGACCUGCAAACUGCAAGAGUUGGCAAGGCUGUAUUUGCACAGUGCCUAGCACAAAAGCACCUGUUUAAUGCUUCUAGUUGCUAUCAUAAUACAAAAAACAAUAAUAAUUGCCUAAGAAAUUGUUACUAGAUGGAAGGAGUGCAAUGCCUUGGACCAUUUCCCCCGGGGAGUGGCCUACACAAAGACCAUUACUGCUGUUAUAACAUGAAAAUUGAUUUAUAUGAAUAUGUAGAAUGUUUUACACCUACUUUGCCCUCGUGUCAAUGAUUAUACUAGGUGCAGAGCAACCCAGGAAGUGUACAGGAACUUCAGACCAUUCAGAAGGGGAGAUUCUCAGCUUCUUAAUGGUAUAGCACUUGGGUCUAGUCCUGGAAGAUCCCAAGAUACAGCUGCAGAGGAACAUUCUGAAAAUAUAGUCACUCAAACGAGGGAAGGAAAUAAAGAGCCUGGUGUGCUUUCUGGUUUGUUGGUUAACAAAAAUGAGAGGGAAUAAUUAUUAACAACCUCUAGCAUAACAGUAAGAAGCUUCUAUUACUUAAGAUUUUAAGGUAUUAAAAAUGCUUACAAUUAUUCUUUUAUUAGCAACACUUUCUGCCCAGAAUCCUGUUUUAACAGAAAUGAAUAUAAAAUUAAGCAUGCUAUUCCAAUUCUGUUUUGCACUCUAUUUUCUCCGAGUCUUUAAGCAUUCCCUCUGCUUCCCACCCUUAGUGCCAUAUGAUGUUGAAAUGUGUAAGUAUGCUUUUUGUAGUUCUGUAAUAAAAAAGUUUCAGCUAAGUUUAUAGUCAGACAUUAUUGUAGAUUUUUUUAAAGUAGAUUUUUUUAAAGUAGUUACAUUCUAGUGUUUUAAAAUGCAGUUAGUUAGCUGACACUGAUCUACUAACGUGAACUGAAACCUGUCUACUAAGCUGACAAUCCAUUUCAGCAUUCAAAUUUCUCAGCUUGAAGCAUCAUUCUUGGCAGCUGUGGUUGGAAAUUACAUCCCAAGUACAGGAGUUUCUUGUUCCGCAGCUGAGCAACAAAAAGGAUGAAGAAUUUGACUCAACAAGACUACAUGCCCGUGAAACAGUCUGCUAGAAGUCAUGUCAACUGCAGCUAUUUAAAUUCAAUGGUUUAACAAAUGCUUUCUUCAAAUACAACCAGGGUUUGUACCCUCCCUUUUCGGUGUGGAUUAAUAUUUAAGAGGAAAGUCUAAAAUCAAUCUGGAACUGGAAAACUUAGGCACCAAACUGCAUCACAAAUCCAAAUAACUGUAACGCAAUGCCUGGACACUAAGUUAGGAUAAAGUUCCUUGAGGCAAAUAUCAACUCAUCAUGGCUCACAUCAAACGACUGUUUUGUGGUUCUCUGUUAUUCUGUUUGACACUAUGUAUGCUGCUCCUUUUUCAUUCUGGAAAGGGUGCAGUUUUAGUUAACUACUUAAUAUGUAAAAAAUAAUAUCAGGUACCACUGUGCUAUAAAAAUAAUAAGUUUAAUGUUUCUUCUGUAUUGAUUUACCUGUCCCAAGUAGUUGGCUUUAGUUAUAACAAUUUGGUCCAAUUAUUUGAAAUUUGCUUCUUUGCUUUUUUU